Molecule: non-coding RNA, 115 nt
Organism: Podarcis lilfordi (Lilford's wall lizard)
Lineage: Eukaryota; Metazoa; Chordata; Lepidosauria; Squamata; Lacertidae
Source: the annotation of a GenBank genome assembly
GAGGAGCAGACUCAGCAGCAGUCUCUCUCUCUCUCUCUCUCUCUCUCACACACACACACACACACAGAGAGAGAGAGAGAGAGAGAGAGAGAGAAAUUUUAGCUUCCUGGGGCAA